This 513-nucleotide ribosomal RNA is filed under the name uncultured bacterium. RNAcentral describes it as "partial 16S ribosomal RNA". It matches the Rfam family "Bacterial small subunit ribosomal RNA", at positions 28 to 523 of the family's 1533-position model. The record is from RNAcentral.
GACGAACGCUGGCGGCGUGCCUAAUACAUGCAAGUCGAGCGGAUGAAAGAGGAGCUUGCUCCUCUAGAUUCAGCGGCGGACGGGUGAGUAACACGUGGGCAACCUGCCCUGUAGAUUGGGAUAACUCCGGGAAACCGGGGCUAAUACCGAAUAAUCCUUCGGACCUCAUGGUCCGAUGUUGAAAGACGGUUUCGGCUGUCACUACAGGAUGGGCCCGCGGCGCAUUAGCUAGUUGGUGAGGUAACGGCUCACCAAGGCCACGAUGCGUAGCCGACCUGAGAGGGUGAUCGGCCACACUGGGACUGAGACACGGCCCAGACUCCUACGGGAGGCAGCAGUAGGGAAUCUUCCACAAUGGACGAAAGUCUGAUGGAGCAACGCCGCGUGAGUGAAGAAGGUUCUCGGAUCGUAAAACUCUGUUGUGAGGGAAGAACAAGUACCGGAGUAACUGCCGGUGCCUUGACGGUACCUCAUUAGAAAGCCACGGCUAACUACGUGCAGCCGCCGCCGUAA